RNAcentral lists this ribosomal RNA (23 nucleotides) under Amanita chepangiana. RNAcentral describes it as "partial 25S ribosomal RNA". The record is from RNAcentral. Lineage: Eukaryota; Fungi; Basidiomycota; Agaricomycetes; Agaricales; Amanitaceae.
UGGUAAAGCCUCUAAUAAUCCUG